This is a long non-coding RNA of Pipra filicauda (Wire-tailed manakin), 724 nucleotides long. RefSeq lists it as uncharacterized. NCBI's taxonomy places the organism in Eukaryota, Metazoa, Chordata, Aves, Passeriformes, Pipridae. The record is from RefSeq and is a predicted model, not a curated record. The transcript has 2 exons.
UAUCCACGGAUGUGAGCAAAUACCAGGAGCUGAUUUUGCAACACGCACAGUGACGAGCCGGAGCAUCCAUGCGCCUCUCCAGGCAAUAACAGAGCCCUCUGCCUGCCUGCUUGCUGUUCACUAGGAGAGAGAGACACAUUUUGCACAAAGCAGCCGAUUUGCGUUUUGUGGACUUACUUUAACUGUCGAGGUUCGCAGUCAACUCCCGGCAGCAGGAGCCUCGCUGCCUGCCGUACGUCAUCGCUGUCCACCGAGAAACUGCGACGGUGCCCCGCGUGAGCCACGGCAACCCGAAUCCAUUCCAUCAGGGGAGGCAGCACAAUGAACGGCCUGGGGAAGCACACAAACGUGAAUGCCACAGUACCCUGGCACGGAAAUAACAGGAGUAUCAAACCGCUACAGCUUUGGGUGCCAGCUGUUCUGCCAACUGAGCAAAAAUAUAGAAAACCAACCCCCAAAGUGAAUGGUGGGACUCUGGGCCACAGCCUCACCUUGAGCAAAGUUUGGGCACUAUCAGAGACAUGGUCCUUCACUCCACAAUGCCUGCGCAGCUCUGUGCCCCAGUGAGAGCUGCACAAGCCUUAGAUGAAGCAUGCAGCACACGAUUUGCUCCACCUAUGUUAAAAAUUACUUGGGAACCAAGAGAAAAAUGCCACACUUAAAUGAGAACCAUAGCUUUAAGUCCUAGUUCAGAGAUAAAACUAAUAAAAUGACUGCAGCUGAA